This is a long non-coding RNA of Fukomys damarensis (Damara mole-rat), 1124 nucleotides long. RefSeq lists it as uncharacterized. The record is from RefSeq and is a predicted model, not a curated record. Lineage: Eukaryota; Metazoa; Chordata; Mammalia; Rodentia; Bathyergidae. The transcript has 3 exons.
UUUCUUCCAUUCUUUCUACAUUUGUUAGCAUUCUGGGAUCCUUCUCUAUUCCUUUUCUAAGUCACUAUAGACUUAUGGUUUGACCUGUUUUGGUUUCUUAUGGUGAAUCACAGAAAAAUGAGGAAGAAGCUAAAAGGGAAAAUGAAGUCUAAAGAGCAUUUUUCUUUAAAAUGGCAAGAAAAACAAAAACAGCAUGCCAUAUACUUUUGGAAAUAAUCUGCUAAGCUGGGGGAAAAAAACAAAAAAUAAAUAAUGCAGGAACUAUGUCCUGAAAUAGAUAAAUGGACUUGGGCUAUUUUUGCAAAAGUAGAGGAAGUGGCCUUCAGUACAUGGGCAUACAGUUCUUCUAUUGUAACAGCAAAAAAAAAAGUCAGAGAAUAUGGUCACAGAAAAAGUAAUGGAUACAUAUGGUGUAGGGAACUUUUAGUCCUUUUCUAUUUGUGUUUUUUUAUAAAACAGAAGGUAUGAUCAACAACUGAGUGCAGAGAGAAGGAAGGAGUUAGAGUAUUGAACAAUGAAGGUAUGUGAUAGUUACUAAAAAUAAUGCAGGAAAAGGAAAUUUAAUGGGAUUGCUGAACAGUAACAAAGAUGCACUUGAAGAUGAUGGUUGUAUAAAGUAAGAUGAUUUGAAAUAAUCAGAUCUUUCUUUAGUUUAUUUAAUUGUGUGCUACAGAAAUGAAGUAAAGAAAAUAUUAGAUUAAACCAAUCUUGAAGUUUUGUCCACCAAGAAUGACCAAGCAAGAGAAGGGAGAAUGGAAUGGACUGAAAGAUAAAUGCAAGUGAUGAUUGUAAUGACAGACCAUGUCUUUGUUGAGUUAGGAGGGAAACAAGGGUACACAAAAGGUAAAGAAAGAUGAAAGCAGUUCUGGAAGUCCUCUUUUGUGGGUAUAUUUACCACAUGUGAUCAAAAAAGCAGUGAAUGAUACUGCUGAGUACCAUCCAACAGGAAGGCAGGCUCAUAAAAACAUCGGUCUGUCCUCAUCAGUUCACCAGAUCUGACACCGUGAGACCUCUGGCUCUUCCCCAAAAUCAAAAUAAUCGUAAAAGAGUUGUAGUGUAAUGCAUCUAGCUAGGGAUUUAGCCCAGUGGUUCCACCGCCUGCCUGGCCUGCGGGGUAAGCACAA